This 203-nucleotide ribosomal RNA is filed under the name uncultured bacterium. Its description in RNAcentral is "partial 16S ribosomal RNA". It matches the Rfam family "Bacterial small subunit ribosomal RNA", at positions 524 to 724 of the family's 1533-position model. The record is from RNAcentral.
UACGUAGGGGGGCUAGCGUUGUCCGGAAUCAUUGGGCGUAAAGAGCGCGUAGGCGGCCAGAUAAGUCCGGUGUAAAAGUCACAGGCUCAACCUGUGAAUGCCGCUGGAAACUGUCUGGCUUGAGUCCGGGAGGGGCGAGUGGAAUUCCUGGUGUAGCGGUGAAAAUGCGCAGAUAUCAGGAGGAACACCAAUGGCGAAGGCAG